UGGGGAAUUUUGCGCAAUGGGCGAAAGCCUGACGCAGCAACGCCGCGUGAGUGAUGAAGGCCUUCGGGUCGUAAAGCUCUGUCAGAGGGGAAGAACCACCUGUCGGUUAAUAUCCGGCAGGCCUGACGGUACCCUCAAAGGAAGCACCGGCUAACUCCGUGCCAGCAGCCGCGGUAAUACGGAGGGGGCUAGCGUUGUUCGGAAUUACUGGGCGUAAAGGGCACGUAGGCUGGCUGUUAAGUCGGGGGUGAAAUCCUGAGGCUCAACCUCAGAAUUGCCUCCGAUACUGGCGGUCUUGAGUGCGGGAGAGGUGAGUGGAAUUCCCAGUGUAGAGGUGAAAUUCGUAGAUAUUGGGAAGAACACCAGUGGCGAAGGCGGCUCACUGGCCCGCAACUGACGCUGAGGUGCGAAAGCGUGGGGAGCAA
This 425-nucleotide ribosomal RNA is filed under the name uncultured bacterium. Its description in RNAcentral is "bacterial SSU rRNA". It matches the Rfam family "Bacterial small subunit ribosomal RNA", at positions 355 to 771 of the family's 1533-position model. The record is from RNAcentral.